CCGCGCGCCGCCCGCCGCCGUCGCGCGUUGCCCGCCCCCGCCGCCGCAGCGUGCCGCCGGUCGCGCUCGCAGCCGCCCCGCUCGGCGCACCCACCUCGCUCGAGGUUGGGCGAGCGCGGAAGUAGAGUUCGGGACGGCGGAUCGGAAUCCAUCGACCGAUUCUCUCUUUCUCUCCUCUCCCUUGGAUUCCUGUAGGCGGUGGAUCAAUCUUGCCUUCGUGGUGGCGGCAGAACGAGCGCCGUGAGAUCAGGUGGACCUGCUUCUGAUUCCUCCUGGUGCUUGGGACGUUUUCAGCUAGAUUGAUUUACUAGCUACGUCCAAGCAGGCCACUGGAUUGAUUUCAUGAGGCUUACUAGCUACGUCCCAAUCAAGAUAGCUAGACUUACUAGCUACGUCCCAAGCAGGCCAAUCCAAUAUGUUGAUCAAUUUGAUUGUUCUGGCUGGAGGUCAGGAGGUCAGAAGGUGCGUCCUUCACACUAAAUCGUACCCGAAGUUCUACAAUUAGGUAUGAUUACAACUAGGAAGCUACCCUUCCUGGAUAACUAUUUUAGUACCUGUUUUUAUUUACUGAUGAGAACUAAAUAAAUUGGCUACUGUCAUGUUUCUCCCUUAAAAAAAAGAUUCUGGUAGAUGUGCUUGACAAUAAUAAUGGUAAUACCUAAAGGAGUUCUCUUGCUCCAAGUUAGCGCCUAUAUAUUCUUAGCUACCAUGUACUUGGGUUACUGGUUUGUGUUAAGGAUUCCGCUACUGUUGCCAAGGUAUCUACAGAAUUUUGUUAUAGUACUAGCUGAACAGAAAAAGAGAUGGUCGCCAAACCUCAAAAAAUAUCAAUCGGCUAUUAAUUUACUAGACUCUAUUUCAGUCUAAUUAGUGGAGACUUAGAGAGUGGAAAAAAUGUUUAAAAAACCUAAUAUAAAAAUAUGAAAUAUUUAGUUAUUCUCUAUAUCCGAGAAAGCAAUAAAGAACUUUGUGUUAGGCAGUGCACUGCGGGAGCGUGUACUGCGACUAUUUUUGCACUGCCGAGGAAGGCUUGAUCUUUCCCACAGAAGCUCGCUUCGAGGUCUUGGUGUGGGGCUGCUGGGGAAGGGAAUGUCCUUCUACUUAGUGAAAGUCGUUGUUGCUGAGGCUGAUUUUACCUUCUUUCUAAGUGUUCUAUUUUAUUAGUGCAAUUGGUUCGAGUUAAACUAACAUCCAUCGUACAAAUAUUUGUGGGACAUAUUCAGGUAAAUUUACCAUGUUCUGUUUUCAUUACCCAGCGCUAAAAUGUAGAUGUUAUGAUGACCAAUGACCAUAAACUUUUCUCAAGAAAUCUGGAAAGAAGCGAGGAUUCUCAAGUAAGAUAAGUCUGCUUACAAAAAUUUGCCUACUGGAAAGUAGAUAAGAGACUCAUGAAGUAAGAAUACAUGCCUACAUAUUAUACAUAGCAGGCUUCUGACUUCUCUGAUUCUGCAAGCCUUGAGGCUGUGAAACAUCUAUGCUAGGUCACCACACUUCUGCCACCUUCAUUUGAUGAGGUUCAGCGUUCACUACUAUGAAAGAAGAAGGCAUGUAUUUUCCUUGUGGAAUUUCCAGUAGAAUGGCAGUGAGAACGAGUAAAAAUCUACAACAGUAUGACUGUAUGGUUCUCACUCAAAGUAGAGGCCCAACAAACUUUUUUGAAGUAGGAGUCGAAAACUACAAAUCCAUCUAUUCCUAGAAUGGAGCUGGUUGGAGUUGAGCCUACAAUUGAGCGGGUAGUUCGGUGGCACCGACAUCCAGCUGAAAGUUUUAUAGGAGGGUUAGUAAAGCAAAUUUGUUCAUGAGGAAAUGUGCCAGCAAAACAUUGAGUCAGAGUGUAAGACAAAUGCUCUUAACAGUUUUUUUGGUCGCUUUUCUUUAAUUACAAUUCUUAUUAUUUUUAGUUGGCAUUGAUGUACAAAAGAAAAUCCUGUGCCUUUUUUGUCCUCUCAUUGACCAUUGUAUUUUUGAGUCAUAUCAGUCUAUGUAAAAGAAUUCAGUACCUUAUGUUUUGUAUAUUUAGAAAUGUCUAAAGGCGUGGUGUUA
Molecule: long non-coding RNA, 2043 nt
Organism: Triticum aestivum (bread wheat)
Lineage: Eukaryota; Viridiplantae; Streptophyta; Magnoliopsida; Poales; Poaceae
Exons: 5
Source: RefSeq, a predicted model, not a curated record